Molecule: small nucleolar RNA, 138 nt
Organism: Ornithorhynchus anatinus (platypus)
Lineage: Eukaryota; Metazoa; Chordata; Mammalia; Monotremata; Ornithorhynchidae
Source: RefSeq, a predicted model, not a curated record
CCCGUCUCAGGGUCGCAUCUGGAGGGUUUCCAGUACUCUACCGGCCUCGACUACGGGAAGAAGAGUCAAGCAGAGGCAGACCCAUUCCAAUCCUAACUUGGGCAGUGGGUAGCGAGUGGAAGGCCAUCUGCUACAAGU